This is a long non-coding RNA of Felis catus (domestic cat), 1401 nucleotides long. RefSeq lists it as uncharacterized. The transcript is spliced from 3 exons. The record is from RefSeq and is a predicted model, not a curated record. NCBI's taxonomy places the organism in Eukaryota, Metazoa, Chordata, Mammalia, Carnivora, Felidae.
UUCUAGUGAUGCUUUUGAUGGGAACAGGGUCACUUGUGCCAAAACAGAGGCUAGAAUCAAUCUCCCUUUUGCAGCUGUGUAUUUUGUCUGUUGUUUGGUGCUUUGCUUUGCCAAGCUCUUACAGCUGUACUCUACAGUGGUCCCCCUUAUCCAUGGUUUCGCCUUCCAAGGUUUUCCGCUCGGUUCGGCCCUCCUCCCUGGUCUGGAAGCAGAUGCUCCUCCUUCUGACGUAGCGUCAAGUGACGUCACAAUUACGGCGUCACUCACGGCAUUUCAGCGCUUCGUCUCGUCACUCAGGCUUUUUAUCAUCUCCACGUCAUCGCAAGAAGGAGAGAAGCUUGAUACGCUCAAGGAUUAAACCAAUUUAAAGAAGAAGAGUGAUAUAAGUUGUUUGGAGGUACUUUCCAAACGUUCCAGAUUUGGGGUCUGAGGAUAUAAAGGAAGUGGCUUUUACCACGCUUCACUUUGAAUGAGUGCAUGCACGUGUAACCUGGAGAGAGGGGCAGAGGAAGAGAGAGAAUCCCAAGCAGGCUACACCUUCAGCAUGGAGCCUGACAUAGGGCUUGAUCCCACAACCUUGGGAUCAUGACCUGAGUAGAAAUCAAGAGUUGGAUGCUCAACUGACUGAGCUGUGCAGGCGCCCCUUGGGUAAGUUUUGUAAACUCCCUAAGCAUCAGUUUUCUUAUCUAUAAGAUGAUGAUAAUAGCUCCUUAUCUAAAGAUCAUGUAUUAAAUAUAUGAAGAACUUAGAACAGUGUCUUGUUAAUGGUAGAUUCUCAGUAAAUCAUUCACCAUUCACAUCACCUAGCCAUCCUGAGGUCUUUUUAUUGAGCCUGGAAUUCAAAGUCACCUUCACUUAAUAGGACUCUAGCCAAAAAUAAUGGAAAUGUGGGCAGAGCUCCAGUCCUAGAAAAAGGGCUACAGUUACAGAAAGUAGAAUAAGAAUGAAUGGGACAGACGUAUGUGGGCUGCAGUUGCCUAAGGCUUUCAUGGUGUACUACUGAUUUUUGUUUCUGGUUAGCAAAAUGAAGGAAUCAGAAAAUAUUUCACCAUAAAAAGAUAAUUCAUAUAACUUAUUAAUGCCAAUGUGCAUAGGCGAUGAUCUUAACAAAAACAACAAUUGUCACAAAUUGCCAAGUCAUUCUUGGAGGUUAUGUUUCUUAGCCCUAGAGUGGGGAGAACUAUCAUUUUAUACCCCAUAAGUAAUAUUGUCUUGUUCUUCUUGCCAGGAAUGAUAAAGCAUCUUUCUUCUGUUUAAUGCUAUUACUAUUUUUGGCAACCUCAUGUCCCAUUAGCUUCUUUUCAUUUUCAAUUUAAAUUUUAGUUAAAAUACAGGGAAAUACUGGUUUCAGGAGUAGAAUUCAGUGAUUCAUCACUUAACAUACAACACCCAAUACUCCUC